RNAcentral lists this long non-coding RNA (3248 nucleotides) under Sus scrofa (pig). Its description in RNAcentral is "lncRNA (ENSSSCG00025077404.1)". The record is from RNAcentral. Lineage: Eukaryota; Metazoa; Chordata; Mammalia; Artiodactyla; Suidae.
GAAUGACCUUGAUGGUUUUGAGGCGUAUGGGUGGGGAUAUUUUAUUUUAUUUUAUUUUAUUUAUGGUUGCACUUGUGGCAUAUGGAAGUUCCGGGCUAGGGUCAAAUCAGAGCCCUAGCUGAGGCCGGCAGCGCAGCCAUGGAAACACCAGAUCUGAGCUGAAUCUGCAACCCACGCUGCAACUUACAGCAAUGCUGGAUCCUUAACCCGCUGAGCAAGGCCAGGGAUCCAGCCCACAUCCUCACAGAAACAAUGUCAGGUCCUUAACCCACUGAGCCACCAUGGGAACUCGGGGAUUUUUUAGAAUGUUCUUCCACAUGGGAUUGUCAGAUUUUUUCUCACUGCUGGACUGGGUAGUUACAUUUUAAUAAUGAAGGAGAACUGUCAGAAUGGAAUGCACAGUCAGCUGCAUUCCACUUUCCACUAAAGUAGGAAGGAAAGGAAAGUUUUUGAGUGUCACUCCUGGGCUAAUAACAUAGGGCCAUCACUCAGUUCCCAGGCUAGGGGUCGAAUCGGAGCUGUAGCCGCCGGCCUACGCCAGAGACACAGCAACGUGGGAUCUGAGCCGCGUCUGCAACCUACACCACAGCCCACGGCAACGCUGGAUCGUUAACCCACUGAGCAAGGCCAGGGAUUGAACCCUCAACCUCAUGGUUCCUAGUUGGAUUCGUUAACCACUGCGCCACGACCGGAACUCCUGGGUCAUUUCUUUUUAAAAAACAUUAUGUUUUAAUUUUUUUGUCUGCGCCCUUGACACGUGGAAGCUCCAGGGCCGGGCACUGAAUCCAAGCCACAGCAGGGACAAUGCCAGAUCCUUGAUCUGCUGAACCAGAAGGAAACUCCAUGUUUUAUUUUUUUUUCUCAAGUUCAAAUUUACCUUUUUUUUUUUUUUUGCCACAGUGUGCAGCUGCUUGAUGUGACAUCUCAGUUCUCAAGUCAGGGGUUGACCCCAGGCCUCAGCGGAGAAAGCACCAAAUUCUAACCACUAGAGCACUAAGGAACUCCUUAUGUUUAAACCAUUUCCAUCUCUGGUGCUACAUAAAGACACACACGUGCGUAUGUAUAAAAACACAUGCGUGUGUGUGUGUGUGUGUAUAAUCGAUUGUAGUCUUAAAUCUUAGAAACAACUCAUCUUGGUUCGUUCCAAUCUUUUCUUAAUUUUACAAAAGGUUCAAAAGCCUUAAGUGACUUGCUGGAGGCUGCCCAUUAAAUUGCACCAGAGUCAGUAUUUGUUUAUUUAUUUUUAAGGCUGCACUCAUUGUAUAUGGAAUCUCCUGGGCUGGGGGUUCAAAUCGGAGCUGCAGCUGCUGGCUUACACCACAGCCACAGAGCUGAGCCACCUCCAUGACCUACACUGCAGCUCCCAGCAAUGCCAGAUCCUUUAAUCCACUGAGCGAGGCCAGGAGCCAAACCUGUGGCCUCACGGAUACUAGUUGGGUUCGUUAUUGCCGAGCCACAAUGGGAACUCUCAGAGUCAGUGUUUAACACCCCCCUCCACGUGUCCUCAGAGCUGGAACUUCCAGUUCUGCACAGUUUUGUCCCUGUCAGCUCCAUCCUCGGGUCACUUCUGACCAGGGACCAUCAUGGUCAGAAGUCUCAUAAGAUCUAUUAAGCCUUUGUCCUUUCCCAAAGUUUGCUUUUUUUUUUUUUUUUUUUUUUUUUUUUUUUUUUUCCUUAUCUUCUGUUUUCCCUUUGAUGGUCAGUGCUAAAACUCCUAAAGCGGAAAAAAAAAAAAAUAGGGCUUGUGCUAUGGCUUUCAGAGACAGUCUGGAAGAAGCAGGCUGGGGAGCCUCCAUCCCACUCUGCAACCUAGGACAGCAACCCCCUUAGGGAAAGAGUGGGGAGCAGCAGCUUUAAAAGUAGAAGGAAAAUAGCUGAACCCCCUAGAGACCAGCAGGAACCAAGCCUGAGACUGAAAAGGGACCCUGGAGCCUCUGUAUAUUUCUGUCAUGUAACCGAGGUGCUUUUUGAAAUACAUCUGCUCACGAGGAUGGGAUCUUAAAAUAAGAGCGACACUGCUAAUAAUAACAGCGAACAUAAUUUUCAGCGCACCCCUUCCCCUUUCUUUGUUUAUCUUCAUUGGUUUUUCUCCCCCUCCAGACACUCCCAGCUCAUCUGGGGGCAGAGGGAGUGCAGUGCCUGACCGAAACCUUCACGAUUAUCCAUUUAUUGAUCAGCUUCCAUAACCCCCCCUCCUAGUCUUCUAAAGUUGCCUGCAAUCUGAUGUCCUGAUUACUCCCUUAUUAGGUUUUGCUUUGGAUGGAAUUACUAAGCCAAAUUGAAAUUCAUGGUUGUUAUGAACCAUUUCCAAGACGUCACUCAAAAGCAAGUCAAGAGAUGCUUCUUGCCUGCUUCUGCCCGUUAGAUGUUGGAUCCAGAUUCACAUGCCAUGCUCUGCCCGUUCAUGUGAGGUUGUUGCUUUAUUUAUGACCUUUCCUUGGUAUGUUGCAGUCUAUUUCUGUGGUCGCAUUUUCACCAACUUAUAUCAAAUUCUGACUCUCACCUUGCACGGCUGUGGAAGCUGCAUGUCUGCAUUACUUUAUUUAGCAGAUACCUGGACCAACGAUCAUUCCUUUGCCUUUUCCUCUCGCCCUGGACAAGGUGGAGGAGAGUGAGUACAGCCAGGACCUUCUCUAGGCUUAUUUUUAAAUAAAGCCUCCUUAAAAUGUGGAAGAUAUCAUCUCCUUCCUCAGGAGGCUGGCAGCUGUCUGGCUCAGGGACACAAUUACAGCUUUGUCAUUAAGACUGGAAGUCACCAAUCAGUUCCUCCAUCUCCUCUCCCCAGCGUAGGCUGAUGGAAAUUCAUUUACUGGAUCAGCAUGGAGGACAGCAUAACCUCUUAGGAGUUCUGAGAAGCGAGAGUUCAGAAGUGCACGCAUGUCAAGGGGAGACCACCUCGGGUUGCUUUUCCCAGAAGUUCCUGUAUUUUUCUCUUGCUUGUCAUCCGCCCAGCAUCCUGACCUCAACAGAGGCUUAAUUGUGUGGGUCUCAGGUGAUGUGGCUUCAGGGCAAGGAGGGGACAGUUCUCUAGGGCGGGACCAAUGUAGGAGUUGAAGUCAGAGAGUCCUCAGUUCCAGUUCCUGCACCAUGACAUAUGACCUUAGCUGCAGGACUUUGGGCAAAUUAUGUCGUAUCCUGAAACCCCCAUUUUCUCACAUGUAAACUGGGAGAUAAAAUACUUAGCCCAUAGUGUUCCUGGGAGGAGCAAGCCUAUCAGUAAGUGACAGAUACCUAGUAUUUGUGGUUAC